GAGUUUGAUUAUGGCUCAGGACAAACGCUGGCGGCGUGCAUAACACAUGCAAGUCGAACGAAAUCUACAUGAUUUAGUGGCGAACGGGUGAGUAACACGUGAGAAACCUGCCUUACACAGAGGGAUAGCCGUUGGAAACGACGAUUAAUACCUCAUGACACCGUGACAUCGCAUGAUGAUGCGGUCAAAGAUUUAUCGGUGUAAGAUGGUCUCGCGCCUGAUUAGCUGGUUGGUGGGGUAACGGCCUACCAAGGCGACGAUCAGUAGCCGAUCUGAGAGGGCGGACGGCCACAUUGGGACUGAGACACGGCCCAAACUCCUACGGGAGGCAGCAGUGGGGAAUUUUGCACAAUGGGGGAAACCCUGAUGCAGCGACGCCGCGUGAACGAAGAAGGCCUUCGGGUUGUAAAGUUCUGUCCUUGGUGAAGAUAAUGACA
Molecule: ribosomal RNA, 437 nt
Filed under: Helcococcus sp. canine oral taxon 069
Lineage: Bacteria; Bacillati; Bacillota; Tissierellia; Tissierellales; Peptoniphilaceae
Description: bacterial SSU rRNA
Rfam family: Bacterial small subunit ribosomal RNA
Source: RNAcentral